This 291-nucleotide ribosomal RNA is filed under the name uncultured bacterium. RNAcentral's name for it is "partial 16S ribosomal RNA". It matches the Rfam family "Archaeal small subunit ribosomal RNA", at positions 455 to 747 of the family's 1478-position model. The record is from RNAcentral.
GUGCCAGCCGCCGCGGUAAUACCGGCAGCUCGAGUGAUGUCCAAUAUUAUUGGGCCUAAAGCGUCCGUAGCUGGCUGCGCAAGUCCGUCGGGAAAUCCGCCAGCUCAACGGGCGGCCGUCCGGCGGAACCUGUGUGGCUUGGGACCGGGAGGCCUGAGGGGUACGAUCGGGGUAGGAGUGAAAUCCUGUAAUCCCGCUCGGACCGCCGAUGGGGAAACCACCUCAGGAGAACGGAUCCGACAGUGAGGGACGAGAGCCAGGGUCUCCAACCGGAUUAGAUACCCUUUCUCC